AAAAAGGCAAACCCUAGGUUUGCGUGUCCAACUUUGACUGUCCGUCUUAUAUGAAAUUUUUUUAUAAUUAUUUUUAUUAUUUUUUUAUAAUUAUUAUUUUUAUUAUUGUUAGAUGAUAAAACAUGAUUAAUACUUUGUGCGUGACUUGUCUUUUUAAUUUUUUUCAUAAUUUUUUCAAAUAAGACGAACGGUCAAACAUUGGGCACGGAAACCAGGGUUUGUCUUUUU
Molecule: microRNA precursor, 228 nt
Organism: Oryza rufipogon (brownbeard rice)
Lineage: Eukaryota; Viridiplantae; Streptophyta; Magnoliopsida; Poales; Poaceae
Rfam family: MIR812 microRNA precursor family
Source: Rfam